AAACCAUGAUUUGGAGACCUCAUCAAGUAUUGUUUGAACCUCUCCCAUGCUUCAAAAAUUUAUUCCACCGAUGUUUCUUGAAGUAGAAAAUCUUGUCUCGAAGUUC
Small nucleolar RNA from Lycium barbarum (goji berry), 106 nucleotides. NCBI's taxonomy places the organism in Eukaryota, Viridiplantae, Streptophyta, Magnoliopsida, Solanales, Solanaceae. The record is from RefSeq and is a predicted model, not a curated record.